UACGGAGGGUGCGAGCGUUGUCCGGAAUCACUGGGCGUAAAGGGCGCGUAGGCGGCAUGCCAAGCGUGUGGUGAAAGCCCGGGGCUCAACCCCGGGUCGGCCGUGCGGACUGGCAUGCUCGAGCACUGUAGGGGCGGGUGGAAUUCCGGGUGUAGCGGUGGAAUGCGUAGAGAUCCGGAAGAACACCGGUGGCGAAGGCGGCAUCCUGGACCAAUUCUGACGCUGAGGAGCGAAAGCCAGGGGAGCAAAGCAGG
Molecule: ribosomal RNA, 254 nt
Filed under: uncultured bacterium
Lineage: Bacteria
Description: partial 16S ribosomal RNA
Rfam family: Bacterial small subunit ribosomal RNA
Source: RNAcentral